GAUGAACGCUGGCGGCGUGCCUAAUACAUGCAAGUCGAGCGAAUGGAUUAAGAGCUUGCUCUUAUGAAGUUAGCGGCGGACGGGUGAGUAACACGUGGGUAACCUGCCCAUAAGACUGGGAUAACUCCGGGAAACCGGGGCUAAUACCGGAUAACAUUUUGAACCGCAUGGUUCGAAAUUGAAAGGCGGCUUCGGCUGUCACUUAUGGAUGGACCCGGGUCGCAUUAGCUAGUUGGUGAGGUAACGGCUCACCAAGGCAACGAUGCGUAGCCGACCUGAGAGGGUGAUCGGCAACACUGGGACUGAGACACGGCCCAGACUCCUACGGGAGGAAGCAGUAGGGAAUCUUCCGCAAUGGACGAAAGUCUGACGGAGCAACGCCGCGUGAGUGAUGAAGGCUUUCGGGUCGUAAAACUCUGUUGUUAGGGAAGAACAAGUGCUAGUUGAAUAAGCUGGCACCUUGACGGUACCUAACCAGAAAGCCACGGCUAACUACGUGCCAGCCGCCGCCGUAA
Molecule: ribosomal RNA, 515 nt
Filed under: uncultured bacterium
Lineage: Bacteria
Description: partial 16S ribosomal RNA
Rfam family: Bacterial small subunit ribosomal RNA
Source: RNAcentral